ACAGAGGGUGCAAACGUUGCUCGGAAUUACUGGGCGUAAAGCGCGUGUAGGCGGACCUUCAAGUCGGACGUGAAAGCCCUAAGCUCAACUUAGGAACUGCAUCCGAAACUGAAGGCCUAGAGUGGUGGAGAGGAAAGCAGAAUUCCUGGUGUAGAGGUGAAAUUCGUAGAUAUCAGGAGGAACACCGGUGGCGAAGGCGGCUUUCUGGACACUUACUGACGCUGAGACGCGAAAGCGUGGGGAGCAAACAGGAUUAGAUACCCUGGUAGUCCACGCCGUAAACGAUGAGUGCUAGGUGUCGUGGGUUUUGACCCCCUCGGUGCCGUAGCUAACGCGUUAAGCACUCCGCCUGGGGAGUACGGCCGCAAGGCUA
Molecule: ribosomal RNA, 373 nt
Filed under: uncultured bacterium
Lineage: Bacteria
Description: bacterial SSU rRNA
Rfam family: Bacterial small subunit ribosomal RNA
Source: RNAcentral